RNAcentral lists this ribosomal RNA (492 nucleotides) under uncultured bacterium. RNAcentral describes it as "partial 16S ribosomal RNA". It matches the Rfam family "Bacterial small subunit ribosomal RNA", at positions 29 to 507 of the family's 1533-position model. The record is from RNAcentral.
AGUGAACGCUGGCGGUAGGCCUAACACAUGCAAGUCAAACGGCAGCACAGUAAGAGCUUGCUCUUACGGGUGGCGAGUGGCGGACGGGUGAGGAAUACAUCGGAAUCUACUUUUUCGUGGGGGAUAACGUAGGGAAACUUACGCUAAUACCGCAUACGACCUACGGGUGAAAGCAGGGGAUCUUCGGACCUUGCGCGAUUGAAUGAGCCGAUGUCGGAUUAGCUAGUUGGCGGGGUAAAGGCCCACCAAGGCGACGAUCCGUAGCUGGUCUGAGAGGAUGAUCAGCCACACUGGAACUGAGACACGGUCCAGACUCCUACGGGAGGCAGCAGUGGGGAAUAUUGGACAAUGGGCGCAAGCCUGAUCCAGCCAUACCGCGUGGGUGAAGAAGGCCUUCGGGUUGCAAAGCCCUUUUGUUGGGAAAGAAAAGCAGCAGGUUAAUACCCCGCUGUUCUGACGGUACCCAAAGAAUAAGCACCGGCUAACUUCGUG